ACUUAAAUAGCUUAUAUAAAGUAUAGCACUGAAAAUGCUAAGAAAAAUUUAUUUUUUUAAGUA
This 63-nucleotide transfer RNA is filed under the name Curculionidae sp. BMNH 1039956. RNAcentral's name for it is "tRNA-Phe". Lineage: Eukaryota; Metazoa; Arthropoda; Insecta; Coleoptera; Curculionidae. The record is from RNAcentral.